CCAGACUCCUACGGGAGGCAGCAGUGGGGAAUAUUGCACAAUGGGCGGAAGCCUGAUGCAGCAACGCCGCGUGCGGGAUGACGGCCUUCGGGUUGUAAACCGCUUUCGCCUGUGACGAAGCGUGAGUGACGGUAAUGGGUAAAGAAGCACCGGCUAACUACGUGCCAGCAGCCGCGGUGAUACGUAGGGUGCGAGCGUUGUCCGGAUUUAUUGGGCGUAAAGGGCUCGUAGGUGGUUGAUCGCGUCGGAAGUGUAAUCUUGGGGCUUAACCCUGAGCGUGCUCUCGAUACGGGUUGACUUGAGGAAGGUAGGGGAGAAUGGAAUUCCUGGUGGAGCGGUGGAAUGCGCAGAUAUCAGGAGGAACACCAGUGGCGAAGGCGGUUCUCUGGGCCUUUCCUGACGCUGAGGAGCGAAAGCGUGGGGAGCGAACAGGCUUAGAUACCCUGGUAGUCCACGCUGUAAACGGUGGGUACUAGGUGUGGGGUCCAUUCCACGGGUUCCGUGCCGUAGCUAACGCUUUAAGUACCCCGCCUGGGGAGUACGGCCGCAAGGCUAAAACUCAAAGGAAUUGACGGGGGCCCGCACAAG
Molecule: ribosomal RNA, 588 nt
Filed under: uncultured bacterium
Lineage: Bacteria
Description: bacterial SSU rRNA
Rfam family: Bacterial small subunit ribosomal RNA
Source: RNAcentral